CCGCCAACCCGUUCCACCAACCCGUUCCAAACCACUCGGCAUCCGCGCCAGCCAUCCAGCUCCCGGGCUCCCCCCAAUCCCGCCAGCGCCGCACCACCCUCCUCCCUCGCCGCACCCUACUCACGACGCCUCUCUCCUUCCCUCCGAUGUGGUGGUGUGGAGGGCGGUUUCGGCGAGCUUUCGCGGCAUCCGCGACGGCCGCCCACCUCCCCCAAUGCCGGCGCUCCCCCCCCCCCCCACCCACAAUCCCGUGACGAGAGGAUGCGCCUCCCGCUCCCAGUGAUGCCGCUCCGCUCCUCCCAUCGCCGAUCCGGUGAAUGGCGCCUCCCGCGCUCCAGCUACUGGCCAGGCCCAGCGCGUCCUCACAUUCAAGGCUUCCCCGCGUCAGAUUCGGAUGUGGGUAGUGGUUUCUUCGAUUUCGUCGCCAGGAUUGAGUGCCCCUUCUUUCGACCGGCUACCUCAUGCGGGAUGGGGGCGAGGAUGCAACGGCGACGGAGACCUGCAGUAGCUCAGCUUCCUCACGGUGUCCUCAAGCUUGCAAUUUCUUCAAAGGUUUUAUCCUCGGUCUACACAGUGCCCUUACCUCUCCUCCACUCGAUUCCCACGGUUUUGCUUUAUUUCCCACGGUAUCCACGGGUUUGUUUAGGAAGUAAGCUCUUAGUAAUCCCCAUGACCAAAAGGGACAUGGAUAUCUUCUUGAUUCGUCAUCGUAGGAUGGCCCAGAGAGACUUGGCGCGGCGCCGGAGCAUUCCACGGCCACCCACCCGUCUGCUGGUGAGGUCCUCCCAGUUUUUGUUCGUCUGGCAGAUUGAAGAUUGGUGCUUGAAGCAGUCCAUUCGCUUGUUUCUGCUGCCGCCAUCAGCGGCUGCUACAUGGCACAACUGACGGCUUUGUUUGGUGGGCAAGCUGACUUCCUCCCUAUGAUGUUGAUGACACGGAUCAAGCGACAGCCCGUGCAUUAGUCCACUUAGAUGCCGGUGCCAUGUUGUUUUGUGCAAGAACAAGAACAGCAACAUCGAACCCAUACUGGUCAAAGCACGAGAGUCUUCUGGCAAUGGGAACUGCGACUAGGCUCCUCAGCACAGCUAUUAUCUUCUUGUAAUGAAUAGGCCAGAUGCCAGGUAGAAUUGCGCACAACACAUCGGGGAAGAAUUGCGCAAAACGCAAGCUAGGCAUGAACAAGCGUCCUCCUUGGAAGAGAAAUGUUUCUGAUGAAGGCGUUGGUGACUUGUUGAUGAUCUUCAAUUCUGUGUGUUGAAGAAAUUGCAUUCCUCCUCACAGGUUGUACCCUUUGUUGACACCAAGCUCUGUAGAGGUACUGGGAAGCCACAUUUGUCCCCAAGUUUGAAUCCGCAACCAGUGAUGCUUUCGGCCUGAACGAGUCGAGGCCAACAGCGUGCUGCUCUCCACUCGCUGACUUGCCAGCACUCAGAUAGGGAAGAUAUGCAUGUAUUGAU
Panicum virgatum (switchgrass) is the source of this 1457-nucleotide long non-coding RNA. RefSeq lists it as uncharacterized. Lineage: Eukaryota; Viridiplantae; Streptophyta; Magnoliopsida; Poales; Poaceae. The transcript is spliced from 4 exons. The record is from RefSeq and is a predicted model, not a curated record.